Ahaetulla prasina is the source of this 142-nucleotide small nuclear RNA. RefSeq annotates it as U4 spliceosomal RNA. The transcript has a single exon. The record is from RefSeq and is a predicted model, not a curated record. NCBI's taxonomy places the organism in Eukaryota, Metazoa, Chordata, Lepidosauria, Squamata, Colubridae.
AGCUUUGCGCAGUAGCAGUAUUGUAGCCAAUGAGGUUUAUCUGAGGCGCGAUUAUUGCUAAUGUUCAGGUUCCUAUUGACCAAUUCCAUCACCUAAACCAGUGUUUCUCAACCUUGGCAACUUGUGGACUUCAACUUCUAGA